GGGCACACGGAGGAAGCCUAGGAGUCAAGUGCCUAUGAAGGACGGGGCUAACACCGAAAUGCCCCGGGGAGCCGCAAGCAGGCUGUGAUCCGGGGGUAUCCGAAUGGGGAAACCCACCUGUGAGGAGCACAGGUACUCAUAUACCGAAGUGAGUAGGUUGUAUGAGAGGCAAGCGGGGGAAGUGAAACAUCUCAGUACCCCGAGUAGAAGAAAGCAAGUGCGAUUUUCUGAGUAGAGGCGAUCGAAAGGGAAAGGGCCCAAACCAUAUGUGAAUGCAUAUGGGGUUGUAGGACAUAUUCAAUAAGGUUGCUGUAGUUCCAUAGGAGAAGUGGACCUGGGAAGGCCUGCCAGAGAAGGUGAAAGCCCUGUAGCCGAAAUGGAACAUGAACGAUCUGGAUGUGAUCCUGAGUACGUCUUGGCACGAGAAACCGAGACGGAAGCAGGGAGGACCACCUCCCAAGGCUAAACACGCUUGACUACCGAUAGUGAAGUAGUACCGUGAGGGAAAGGUGAAAAGCACCCCAAAAGGGGAGUGAAAGAGAACCUGAAACCGUGUGCUUAACGGACGGUCGGAGCUUGUGGUGGAUUUAUCCAUCAGCGAGUGACGGCGUGCCUUUUGAAGAAGGAACCGGCGAGUGUAAGUAGCAUGCAAGGUUAAGGUCUGCUAAGGACCGGAGCCGAAGCGAAAGCGAGUCGAUUAAGGGCGCAUAGUAUGUUGUUUACGACCCGAAGCCGGGUGAGCUACCCAUGUCCAGGAUGAAGUGGCGGUAAGACGCUAUGGAGGUCCGAACCCAAGGGUGUUGCAAAACCCUGGGAUGAGGUGUGGGUAGGGGUGAAAUGCCAAUCGAACCCGGCGAUAGCUGGUUCUCCCCGAAAUGGCUUUAGGGUCAGCCUGCAGUGUUGCUCAAUAGGAGGUAGAGCUCUGGAUGCGCGAGGGGCCCGCGAGGGUUACCAAGUGCAACUAAACUACGAAUGCCUAUAGAGAAAGCUGUGGAGUGAGACUGUGUGCGCUAAGGUACAUGGUCAAGAGGGAAACAGCCCAGACCAUCAGCUAAGGUCCCAAAGUCACAGCUAAGUGGUGAAGGAAGUGAAUUUGCGAAGACAGCCAGGAUGUUGGCUUGGAAGCAGCCAUCAUGGAAGGAGUGCGUAACAGCUCACUGGUCGAGUGGAUUUGCGCCGAAAAUGUAACGGGGCUAAGCUGUGCACCGAAGCUAUGGAUAUUAUGUAAAUAAUGUGGUAGGGGAGCGUUCUGUGUUGCAAAGAAGCCGAACUGAGAAGUGAGGUGGAGUACACAGAAGUGAGAAUGCCGGUAUGAGUAGCAAAAGAGGGGUUAGAAUCCCCUCCACCGAAAGCCUAAGGGUUCCUGGGGAAGGAUUAACCACCCAGGGUUAGUCGGGGCCUAAGCCGAGGCGUAAGAGCGUAGGCGAUGGACAACAGGUUUAUAUUCCUGUACCGGUUACACGCGUUAAAACGAAGGGGAGACGCAGGUGGUUGACUGUGGCGUGCGGAUGGAAGUGCGCGUUCAAGCGGCAAGCGAGUGUAGGGAGGGAAAUCCCCCUAUGCGAUGAGGGAGCCGUGAUGAGGACGGGUUGAAACCCGGAAGAGCAGAAGAUCGUGCUGCCAAGAAAAGCCUCUAGGAGUGUGUAAGCGCCCGUACCGUAAACCGACACAGGUGGGCAAGGAGAGUAUCUAAAGGUGAGCGGGAGAACGUUUGUUAAGGAACUCGGCAACAUAGCCCCGUAACUUCGGGAGAAGGGGUGCUCCUUUCUAUAAAAGGAGAGGAGCCGCAGUGAAGAGGUCCAGGCGACUGUUUACCAAAAACACAGGUCUCUGCAAAGCCGAAAGGCGAAGUAUAGGGGCUGACGCCUGCCCGGUGCUGGAAGGUAAAGGGGAAGAGUUGGCGCUCAGAACCGAAGCCCCAGUAAACGGCGGCCGUAACCGUAGCGGUCCUAAGGUAGCGAAAUUCCUUGUCGGGUAAAUUCCGACCUGCACGAAAGGCGUAACGAUCUGGACAGUGUCUCAACAAGCGACCCGGUGAAAUUGCAAUGUCUGUGAGGAUGCAGGCGACCCGCGGCAAGACGGAAAGACCCCGUGGAGCUUUACUGCAGCUUGGUAUUGAGCUGAUGGCGCGCAUGUACAGGAUAGGUGGGAAUCAGUGAAACAUAUGCGCUAGCAUGUGUGGAGAUAACCGUGGGAUACCACCCUUGUACGUUGUUGGUUCUCACUGAUAUUCCUAGACGGGAUACAGGAAAGUGCCAGGUGGGCAGUUUGACUGGGGCGGUCGCCUCCCAAAAGGUAACGGAGGCGUUCAAAGGUUCUCUCAGCGCGGAUGGAAAUCGUGCUAAUGAGUGCAAAGGCAUAAGAGAGCCUGACUGCGAGACGUACAUGUCAAGCAGGGACGAAGGUCGGACUUAGUGAUCCGGUGGUUCCGAGUGGAAGGGCCAUCGCGCAACGGAUAAAAGCUACCCCGGGGAUAACAGGCUAAUCUCCCCCGAGGGUUCACAUCGGCGGGGAGGUUUGGCACCUCGAUGUCGGCUCAUCGCAUCCUGGGGCUGAAGGAGGUCCCAAGGGUUGGGCUGUUCGCCCAUUAAAGCGGUACGCGAGCUGGGUUCAGAAC
This 2617-nucleotide ribosomal RNA is filed under the name Pasteuria ramosa. RNAcentral's name for it is "bacterial LSU rRNA". It matches the Rfam family "Bacterial large subunit ribosomal RNA", at positions 15 to 2617 of the family's 2925-position model. Lineage: Bacteria; Bacillati; Bacillota; Bacilli; Caryophanales; Pasteuriaceae. The record is from RNAcentral.